GUGUCAGCCGCCGCGGUAAUACGUAGGGAGCGAGCGUUGUCCGGAUUUAUUGGGCGUAAAGAGCGCGUAGGCGGCUCGGUAAGCCGGAUGUGAAACCUCCAAGCUCAACUUGGAGCGGCCAUUCGGAACUGCUGUGGCUAGAGUCUGGUAGGGGAACACGGAAUUCCUGGUGUAGCGGUGAAAUGCUUAGAUAUCAGGAGGAACACCAGUGGCGAAGGCGGUGUUCUGGGCCAGUACUGACGCUGAGGCGCGAAAGCGUGGGGAGCGAACAGGAUUAGAUACCCCCGUAGUCC
RNAcentral lists this ribosomal RNA (293 nucleotides) under uncultured bacterium. Its description in RNAcentral is "partial 16S ribosomal RNA". It matches the Rfam family "Bacterial small subunit ribosomal RNA", at positions 505 to 796 of the family's 1533-position model. The record is from RNAcentral.